RNAcentral lists this ribosomal RNA (441 nucleotides) under uncultured bacterium. RNAcentral describes it as "partial 16S ribosomal RNA". It matches the Rfam family "Bacterial small subunit ribosomal RNA", at positions 339 to 795 of the family's 1533-position model. The record is from RNAcentral.
CUACGGGUUGCAGCAGUGAGGAAUAUUGGACAAUGGGCGAAAGCCUGAUCCAGCGACGCCGCGUGGGUGAAGAAGGCCUUCGGGUUGUAAAGCCCUGUCAGAGGGGACGAAGUUCUGACGGUACCCUCAGAGGAAGCACAGGCUAACUCCGUGCCAGCAGCCGCGGUAAUACGGAGUGUGCGAGCGUUGCUCGGAAUCACUGGGCGUAAAGGGCACGUAGGCGGCCUCGUGUGUUGGGUGCGAAAGCCCACGGCUCAACCGUGGAACUGCACUCAAAACUGCGAGGCUAGAGUACGGAAGAGGAAGGCGGAAUUCCCAGUGUAGGGGUGAAAUCCGUAGAUAUUGGGAAGAACACCAGUGGCGAAGGCGGCCUUCUGGGACGAUACUGACGCUGAUGUGCGAAAGCGUGGGGAGCAAACGGGAUUAGAUACCCUCGUAGUC